This 600-nucleotide ribosomal RNA is filed under the name uncultured bacterium. RNAcentral's name for it is "partial 16S ribosomal RNA". It matches the Rfam family "Bacterial small subunit ribosomal RNA", at positions 9 to 546 of the family's 1533-position model. The record is from RNAcentral.
GAGUUUGAUCCUGGCUCAGAAUGAACGCUGGCGGCGUGCCUUACACAUGCAAGUCGAGCGAGGCCGGGGGGCAACCCCCGAGUCGAGCGGCGAACGGGUGAGUAACGCGUGGGUGACCUGCCCUGAGGUGGGGGAUAACCCGGGGAAACUCGGGCUAAUACCGCAUGACAUCGAGAGAUCAAAGAGGGCCGCAAGGCUCUCGCCGCAGGAGGGGCCCGCGUCCGAUUAGCUAGUUGGCGAGGUAAUGGCUCACCAAGGCGACGAUCGGUAGCCGGCCUGAGAGGGUGAUCGGCCACACUGGAACUGAGACACGCCGUCCACACUCCUACGCGGAGCGCAGCACGUGGGGGAAUUCUUGGCGCCAAUGGGGCCGAAAAGCCCUGACCGCACGCAAACCGCCCGCGCUUGGACCGAAUGACACGUCCCUUUGGAUUCGUAAAACCCCCUGUCAGCCGGGGAAAAAAGCGACCCGGCCUAAUACGCGGGGGGAGUGGAUNGUACCCGCAGAGGAAGCCCCCGCUAACUCUGUGCAAGCAGGCGGCGGGUAAUACAGGANGGGGGGCAACGCGGUUAUUUCCGGAAAAUUUANUUGGGGGCCGU